This 63-nucleotide transfer RNA is filed under the name Artyfechinostomum sufrartyfex. Its description in RNAcentral is "tRNA-Leu". The record is from RNAcentral. Lineage: Eukaryota; Metazoa; Platyhelminthes; Trematoda; Plagiorchiida; Echinostomatidae.
ACAUGGGUGCCAGAUUACAUGGGUUGGUUUUAAGCAUCAAAUAUGAGGAUUUCUCCCCGUGUA